Molecule: non-coding RNA, 70 nt
Organism: Cordylochernes scorpioides
Lineage: Eukaryota; Metazoa; Arthropoda; Arachnida; Pseudoscorpiones; Chernetidae
Source: the annotation of a GenBank genome assembly
CCACUGAUGUUCAGUAGUAGAAUGCUCGCCUGCCACUCGGGCGGCCCGGGUUCGAUUCCCGGCCAAUGCA